Molecule: ribosomal RNA, 439 nt
Filed under: uncultured bacterium
Lineage: Bacteria
Description: partial 16S ribosomal RNA
Rfam family: Bacterial small subunit ribosomal RNA
Source: RNAcentral
CCUCGGGUGGCAGCAGUGGGGAAUAUUGCACAAUGGGGGAAACCCUGAUGCAGCGACGCCGCGUGAGUGAAGAAGUAUUUCGGUAUGUAAAGCUCUAUCAGCAGGGAAGAAAAUGACGGUAGCUGACUAAGAAGCACCGGCUAACUAAGUGCCAGCAGCCGAGGUAAUACGUAGGGGGCAAGCGUUAUCCGGAUUUACUGGGUGUAAAGGGAGGGUAGACGGCAGCGCAAGUCUGAAGUGAAAUGCCGGGGCUUAACCCCGGCACUGCUUUGGAAACUGUGCAGCUGGAGUGCAGGAGGGGUAAGUGGAAUUCCUAGUGUAGCGGUGAAAUGCGUAGAUAUUAGGAGGAACACCAGUGGCGAAGGCGGCUUACUGGACUGUAACUGACGUUGAGGCUCGAAAGCGUGGGGAGCAAACAGGAUUAGAUACCCCAGUAGUC